RNAcentral lists this long non-coding RNA (1405 nucleotides) under Homo sapiens (human). RNAcentral describes it as "HSALNT0330712". The record is from RNAcentral. Lineage: Eukaryota; Metazoa; Chordata; Mammalia; Primates; Hominidae.
AGAAUCAGAAUGCAGACAUGUUUGAUUGCAAAGCUCAAGUCUAUUUAACCACUAUAUUACUCUCUGUGCACAGAACAAAAUGUCAAUAAGAAAUUUUACUUGGUUUUACCUAUGUUUUAAAGAUCUAAGCAGAUAAUUUUUUCAAAAUUUAUCCAGAUUUUCUGAAUCUUCUUAUAAAGGAAAAAUAUCUUAUGCCUGCAUAAAUGAAAGGAGACCAAGAUUAUUGACUUAUUCAUUUAGCAAAUACAUAGUGAGCCCCUAUCCUCCACUAGGCAUUGUGCUAAAUACUAAGGAUAUAGUAAUGAUAAGAUACAUAAUCCUUUACCUCAUCAGGCUCUGCUCCUAGUGGGUAGACAAAAGAAAAGCAGAAAAAGAUGACAACACAACGGGCUGAAAUGACCAUAAUACCGGAAUUUUACUUUAACGGAAGAUAGCGGUGAGGGCUUGAACACUAAGGAAUUAAUGAGAGAUCAGCCCCUUUAGCGACUCAAAGCAUAUUAUAACUCCAGCUGGUCAAAAAGAGAGGAAAUAAAUAAUAUAACAGGAACAACUGGAAGAGCAAGUGCAGCAUCAGGUUGGUGCAUUUCUUCUGAUCAAAAGGUCGAAUUGCAACUGGUCUUUGAAGAGUGUGCUGGUGACAGUGUGCAACCUUUGCAGUAGCUCCUGGACUGGCCCUAGACUGCUGUCAAAUUAAACCAGCACUGUAAAGAAGAGAGCAAGUUGAAUGAAGUUGAAUGAAGGGGCAUCUUAAUUCCAAUCCUGGCUCUAAUGCUGACUGUAAGCAUGACCCCGGAUGAGUUAUUCACUCUCUCAGUCUCAGUCUCCUCAUCCACAAAGCAGGGAUCACAAUAAAUGAAUAGCACCUUUCACAGAACCCACCAUAUAUACUGAGUGUUCAAUAAAUACCGUGUUCAUCAUCUAACAUCAUAACACAUUGAGCAUCCAUCAAAGCAGAAGUAGUUCGCACCUGGAUAUUUCUGUUUCUUUUUUUUUUUUUGCUAUCCUACUGGUGUUUUACUUAAAUUUAGUGUGGUAAUAUGAAAGAAAAUUACUGCUCUUCUGCUAUUUAGUUAGCAUUUUUAUGCUUUUUAAAAAAUAUUGCAAUAAAAUUAAUAAAAUUUGAAUUCAGUCUUUCCUAUUUAACUAAUAUUAUCUAAAAAUAACUACCUCCCAGGACCACAUUAUACAACAACAUAUAGUAGCUACCUAGGGGCAGCUAUCUUAAUUGUUGAGAAAAUUCUACAAAGAAAGUACCUUCUUCUGGACAUCAUACCUAUUCAUAUUGCCAGUGUCAGGGAUGUUUACCAUGGUUAUGGUAUGGUAAUAACAUGAUACUGAUCAUCAGUACGCAGCAAAUGAACAUACUUUCUCAAUUCUAAUAAAGCAUCAAUUGGGACACACAGGC